Molecule: non-coding RNA, 128 nt
Filed under: Pseudooctadecabacter jejudonensis
Lineage: Bacteria; Pseudomonadati; Pseudomonadota; Alphaproteobacteria; Rhodobacterales; Paracoccaceae
Description: Ruegeria cis8 sRNA
Rfam family: Ruegeria cis8 sRNA
About the family: Cis-encoded. Targets hypothetical protein.
Source: Rfam by way of RNAcentral
AUCGCCAGCAGUUUGGCGAUGUAGGGGAUCAAGGGCAGGUUCAGGAUCAGCAGCACCAGAUUGCCGAUGAACAUGGACAUGAUGACCGCCCAGAAGAUUUGCGGUUCAUCCACCAUCAGGCGCGGGCC